This 200-nucleotide long non-coding RNA is filed under the name Carica papaya (papaya). RNAcentral describes it as "long non-coding RNA (CPAP_LNC015659)". Lineage: Eukaryota; Viridiplantae; Streptophyta; Magnoliopsida; Brassicales; Caricaceae. The record is from RNAcentral.
AGUAAAAAUAUAAGUUUGACCUUUAAGGAGACGGACCUUUUCAAGUUCUAGAGCAUAUCAAUAUGCCUACAAAAUUGAUCUCUUAGAUGACUACGGUGUGUCUACUACCUUUAAUAUUUUUUACCUUCCUUUUUUUAUGCAGGACCAGAUUUGAGGACGAAUCUUUUUGAAGAGGGAGGGGAUGAUGUGAGCAUGGACAU